RNAcentral lists this ribosomal RNA (253 nucleotides) under uncultured bacterium. Its description in RNAcentral is "partial 16S ribosomal RNA". It matches the Rfam family "Bacterial small subunit ribosomal RNA", at positions 524 to 776 of the family's 1533-position model. The record is from RNAcentral.
UACGUAGGGGGCAAGCGUUGUCCGGAUUCAUUGGGCGUAAAGGGUGCGUAGGUGGCGUCGUAAGUCAGGUGUGAAAUCUCGGGGCUCAACCCCGAAACUGCACUUGAUACUGCGAUGCUCGAGUACUGGAGAGGAGAUUGGAAUUUACGGUGUAGCAGUGAAAUGCGUAGAUAUCGUAAGGAAGACCAGUGGCGAAGGCGAAUCUCUGGACAGUUACUGACACUGAGGCACGAAGGCCAGGGGAGCAAACGGG